UACGUAGGGUGCGAGCAUUAAUCGGAAUUACUGGGCGUAAAGCGUGCGCAGGCGGUUGUGCAAGACAGAUGUGAAAUCCCCGGGCUCAACCUGGGAACUGCAUUUGUGACUGCACGGCUGGAGUGCGGCAGAGGGGGAUGGAAUUCCGCGUGUAGCAGUGAAAUGCGUAGAUAUGCGGAGGAACACCGAUGGCGAAGGCAAUCCCCUGGGCCUGCACUGACGCUCAUGCACGAAAGCGUGGGGAGCAAACAGG
This 253-nucleotide ribosomal RNA is filed under the name uncultured bacterium. Its description in RNAcentral is "partial 16S ribosomal RNA". It matches the Rfam family "Bacterial small subunit ribosomal RNA", at positions 524 to 776 of the family's 1533-position model. The record is from RNAcentral.